CGUAAAACAAGUGCUACGUAGUUUACGGCUGUAUUUCUGAGUUGGCAAUGUUCGUUUGUGUGAAAGAAAUUUGUCCGAAACGUUUUGGCCAUGUACUUCUACGACACUGAACUGUUUUUGAAAGACGAGAAAACGCAGCCAUGAAUCCACCCGUAUACCUUAGCAGAACAAGCCACUUCCGGGCUCCUUCCUUCCCUCUGGUCCCCCUAUGAUGACGUCACCACAUUCCAUCUACCUCAGCGGUUCCUUUCCCAGCAUUCCCGUUCCAUUUCGGUCCCCACAGCAUUUAAAUAUCCACCAUUUUCAUCUGUUGUUGUCUGUAAUGAGUUCCAUGCUUGACCCAAAACAAGACUGUAAACAAACCCGUUUUCAGUAUACGAGGAUGGACUCCCAACACUUUCACCUUGUAUUUGUACUUCUUUUUACACUGUAUAAGAAGUCUUCCUUCAGUCUUGUUCAUUUAAGUAAAUCAACCAGAACCUAA
Molecule: long non-coding RNA, 484 nt
Organism: Polypterus senegalus (gray bichir)
Lineage: Eukaryota; Metazoa; Chordata; Cladistia; Polypteriformes; Polypteridae
Exons: 2
Source: RefSeq, a predicted model, not a curated record